This 212-nucleotide non-coding RNA is filed under the name bovine gut metagenome. Its description in RNAcentral is "raiA RNA". It matches the Rfam family "raiA RNA". The record is from RNAcentral.
CGCGUGUCCGUGGUUGAAAGUCGAUGCCAGUCGCAGGCGAAACGAUCCACGUAAGCCGGGAAAAUUCCGGUGAGCAUGGUGCGGCUUAGAAGUAAGUCCUGCCGAUGUGACCGUCUGACGGUAUGUCGAGAGCGUUAGUAGUGGGGAGGCAAAGUCCUUAGGAGCGAAAGCGCCGGCAGGCGAGUGUGGGGUCAAAGACCAGGUCGGGCGCG